This 355-nucleotide transfer-messenger RNA is filed under the name Clostridium sporogenes. It matches the Rfam family "transfer-messenger RNA". From Rfam's summary of the family: Bacterial tmRNA, also known as 10Sa RNA or SsrA, is named for its dual tRNA and mRNA-like properties. Its role is to liberate the mRNA from a stalled ribosome. The record is from RNAcentral. RNAcentral also lists the same sequence under 1 other name. Lineage: Bacteria; Bacillati; Bacillota; Clostridia; Eubacteriales; Clostridiaceae.
GGGGGCGCAAUGGUUUCGACGGGGGCAAGUUGCUCCUGAGAAGCGAGUCGAAGGGAUCCUGUACCUGCGUUAAAAAACCGGGAAUUUAAAUAUAAUCGCAAACGAUAAUUUUGCAUUAGCUGCCUAAUAGUUGCAGCUCGUCAGCCUAAGAGUCCCACGACUUAGGGUCUGGCGUCGACAGUGGGGAACCGAGCCUUGCAAAGCUUUGAGUAAGGAACGGAAUUAAUGAAGCUACUAAAUCUAAGAGCCUGUUUAUCAGCGCUUAGAGGAGGGAAUGUAAAAGGAUAAACUGCACUCGGAGAUGCUCAGGGGUUGCUGCUUUCGGACAGGGGUUCGAUUCCCCUCGCCUCCACCA